AGAGUUUGAUCAUGGCUCAGAACGAACGCUGGCGGCGUGUUUAAGACAUGCAAGUCGCACGGGAUUUUUCCAAGUAGCAAUACAAGGAAAAGUUCAGUGGCGCACGGGUGAGUAACACGUGAAUUACAUGCCCUUCAGUGGGGAAUAGCCCAGGGAAACUUGGAUUAAUACCCCAUGGUAUCGCAAGAUUAAAGGUGGCCAGCAAUGGCUGUCGCUGAAGGAUUGGUUCGCGCCCUAUCAGCUUGUUGGCGGGGUAACGGCCCACCAAGGCUACGACGGGUACCUGGUCUGAGAGGACGAUCAGGCACACUGGAACUGAGACACGGUCCAGACACCUACGGGUGGCAGCAGUCGAGAAUAAUUCACAAUGGGGGCAACCCUGAUGGUGCAACGCCGCGUGGAGGAUGACGGUCUUCGGAUUGUAAACUCCUGUCAUCCGGGAGUAAGGCGUGGAUGUUAACAGCAUACACGAUUGAUAGUACCGGAAGAGGAAGGGACGGCUAACUUCGUGCCAGCAGCCGCGGUAAUACGAAGGUCCCGAGCGUUGUUCGGAAUCACUGGGCGUAAAGGGAGCGUAGGCGGCGCGGUAAGUCAGAUGUGAAAUCCCGGGGCUCAACCCCGGAACUGCAUCCGAUACUGCCGUGCUAGAGGAUUGGAGAGGUAGCUGGAAUUCUUGGUGUAGCAGUGAAAUGCGUGGAGAUCAAGAGGAACACUCGUGGCGAAAGCGAGCUACUGGACAAUAUCUGACGCUGAGGCUCGAAGGCCAGGGUAGCGAAAGGGAUUAGAUACCCCUGUAGUCCUGGCAGUAAACGGUGCACGCUUGGUGUGAGGGGAAUCGACCCCCCUUGUGCCGGAGCUAACGCGUAAGCUGCCGCCUGA
This 879-nucleotide ribosomal RNA is filed under the name uncultured bacterium. Its description in RNAcentral is "bacterial SSU rRNA". It matches the Rfam family "Bacterial small subunit ribosomal RNA", at positions 9 to 873 of the family's 1533-position model. The record is from RNAcentral.